CUGGGACCUUGUCCUCUCACUCACCCUUCCGCGUGCUCGCGCUUCUGCGUGGGCUGGGGACCGGCGGGCCACAGCCCUGAUGCCAGCACCGUGUGGGACUCCAGAGGCAUAAAGGAAAAGCGGUGAUGAGAGGAAUGUGGACAGUAAAGACCGCGCUCAUGAGGACUCUGUUGGGAAUUGCACCGAUGGCCAUUCAUGUCGCACUUUGGCAAAGAACCUGUCUACAUUGUGUCCUGGUCCUGAGAUUCUGCGAAGCUGGAUUUAAAGGUGAUGGACUAACUAAUCUGGUGGAAGAAGUUUCAAGGCAGCACAGAAUUGAGGCAGUGGGAUGGGGCAUGGCAGCUUUCAGACAGAUUCACUGGGAUAACUGGGAGCAGAAGGCAGACAGGAAAGAUUCAGAAACCUUGCAGCUUGGCCAGAGAAGCACACGUAAAAUGGGGGCCAAGAAAGUGGUGUUGAAGAGAUUAUCACCAUUAAAGAGAAACCAAGUACUCUGCCCAGAGACCAUUCGAAGACACCCUGGGGGAAUGUCAAGAAUCCGCCAGAUCACACCCACGGCAAACUCAGGGAUGUACAAACAAAACCUCUCUGGGAGAGUCCUUGGGGACAGAGUGCCGCCACAGGGUGGCCUGCAGAGCUGCCUUCCGUGAUUCCCACCGAACGCCGCGGAUGUCAGACUUGGAGUUCCGCGACCCAGUGUUUUCCCAGCUGGGCUUUGGUCUUGAUUUGGUCCCAACCCUUCUUCCUCUGCCCCAAUUCCUCUCUUAGAACGAGAACACCUGCUCGGUGCCACUGGGUAUGGCACACAUAACCUGCUUUUGAUUUCUAGACUCACAGACGAGAGUUUGCCUGGAGUAUCUAGGGAGACUUUGAACUUGGACUCUGGGCAAGGCUGGGGCUGUUAGGACAGUGAGGAUUCCUGGUGACACACUGGAUGAAAGCAUUUUGCCUUGUGACAUGGAUAUGAGCUUUGAGGGCGGGAGUGAAUGUUCCAUUUGGAUGUGAGGUGUCCCCCCAACAUCCUGUGCCAAUGAAGGACUGUUCGGAGUGA
Ictidomys tridecemlineatus (thirteen-lined ground squirrel) is the source of this 1051-nucleotide non-coding RNA. The record is from RefSeq and is a predicted model, not a curated record. Lineage: Eukaryota; Metazoa; Chordata; Mammalia; Rodentia; Sciuridae.